AUAUAUAUAUAUAUAUAUAUAUAUAUAUGUAUAUAUACUAUAAUGCCAAGGGAAAUUACUUGUCCUUUGCCUCAGACUUAUAUUGAUAAUGGUUCGUUGAACAUACCUCGUGGUUUGGAUUUGGCUGAUCCUACAUUUGGUGUCCCAGGUAAAAUAGAUCUGCUACUUGCAGCUGAUAUUUAUUUUGAUAUAAUCGAUGGUGGUAUUUUAAAAUUAGGCGAUGGGUUGCCAAUUCUCCAAAAUACAUUAUUUGGAUGGGUAAUACGUGGGAGCAUUUCUAAAAAUUCAAACAACAUUUGUUUAAAUGUUAUGGUUUCCUUAUUUUCACAAGGUCCAGAUCUAGAUGUAUUGAUCCCACAAUUCUGGAGGUUGGAAGAGGUCGCGGGUAAAAGACAUAUGUCCCCUGAGGAUAAGGCAUGUGAGAAUAUUUAUUUCACAACUACUAAAAGGUUAGAGUCUGGUGUUUUCGAGGUUAGGUUACCUAUUAAAGCUGAAUUUACUGCUCUCUCAUUGGGUGACUCUCUGCCUAUGGCUACACAAAGGUUUUUGUCCUUGGAGAAGAAAUUCCAGAAGGAUCCAAAUUUAAAAAGGGAAUACAUUGCUUUCAUUCAGGAAUAUUUAGAAAUGGGUCACGCAAAGGAUAUUAGUGAUGAUGCUAGGCUUUUGGAAAAACAUAGGUAUUAUUUUCCUCAUCAUUGUGUAGUUCGAGAGGACAAGUUAGCUACAAAAUAUAGAGUAGUAUUUAAUGGGUCAAUGAAAACUAAUUCCGGGUUAAGUUUAAAUGACAUCUUGUUAAAGGGAAGCAGGGUGCAACCUGAUUUAUUUGAUAUUGUUGCCAGAUUUCGAACAUUUAAACACGUUCUAUCAAGUGACAUUCAAAAAAUGUUUAGGUGUGUGAAAGUUCAUCCGAAAGACAAACUUUUACAAAAUAUUGUUUGGAGAGACGAUCCAUCACUUCCCAUACGUCGUUUGGAGCUACAGACAGUUACUUACGGAACCAAGUGCAGUUCAUUUCUAGCAACUCGCUCAUUAGUGGAAUUAGCUAAACAAAGUAAAGGAUUAUAUCCAUUGGCUGCAGAGAAUUUGUUGGAACAGACAUACGUUGACGACAUAUUAGGAGGAGCGAAUACAUUAGAGCUUUUAUUUAAACUUCAAAAUGAGCUGAACACACUAUUAAAGUCAGCAGGAUUCUUAUUGUAUAAAUGGAACUCAAAUAACGAGUUUUUAGUCAAAUUUAAAGCAGAAGAUUCCUCUAAAGUGUUAGGUGUUUUAUGGGACCCAGUUUCGGAUCCAUUUCGGGUAUCAGUACCAAGUAUCAAAAGGAUAAAUUUACCAAACGUGAAGUUUUGGCCCUUAUAGGACAGAUAUUUGAUCCAAUGGGAUUUGUGGGUGUUGUAGUAAUCGUAGCUAAAAUCUUUAUGCAGAAACUGUGGGUUCAAAGACUUCAAUGGGAUGACAUAUUACCGCCAGAUUUAUUAAUCGAAUGGUUGAAUUUUUAUAAGCAAUUGCCACGGUUAGAAGCGUUAGGCAUAAAGCGAUGGAUAUUUGAAUCUGGGGAAGUAAGUACUAUAGAAUUAAUAGGGUUUGCGGAUGCAAGCAUGGUGGCCUAUGGCGCUUGCUUGUACGUUAGGGUCUUAUACGAUGAUAAUAGAGUUUCUUGCAGUCUAGUUUGUUCAAAAUCAAGGGUCGCACCCCUCAAAACAGUUUCUCUGCCUAGGCUGGAACUUUGUGGAUUAUUGCUUUUGGCCUGGAUGUAUGUUUAAAUCAUGUAUGAAGUUUAAGUUUAAUAAGGUCAUUCUGUAUAGCGACUCGAAAAUUGUGCUUGCUUGGAUGCAAUCAUCUCCAUUACGUUGGGCGACAUUUGUCGCCAACAGGGUAUCGGAAAUUCAGGAUUUAACUUUGGAUGCUGAGCUAAGACAUAUCUCAUCAGAUUUAAAUCCAGCAGACUACAUAUCUCGUGGGAUCGGACCUGAGGUCUUGUUGAAAUGUAAGGUUUGGUUUCAUGGUCCAGACUUUUUGGCAGAUCCAAGUUUUUUGCAUCCAGAACAAAUAAAUUUAGACAUAUUCGCAUUGCCUGAGGAAAGGCAGGUUUCUCAUUUUCAGGCAACAACUGUUAAUGAAGGAAUAUUGUCAAGGUUCUCUUCUUAUAAUAGAAUGUUACGAUGUAUAGCUUAUAUUCUAGUGGUUUGUUAAGAGUAGGAGGACGGUUAGAAAAUGCUCCUCUAUCAUUCAAUGCUAAACACCCAGUUAUUCUUCCUAGUAAAUCACAUGUUACUGAUGUAAUAAUUGAAAGUGAGCAUUUAAGGUUAGGUCAUGCUGGUCCUAGAGCAGUUCUCAAUAGCUUACGGCAACGUGUUUGGCUUAUAAAAUCUUUGAGGCGAAUAAAAUCUAUUUUAAUUAAGUGUGUGAAAUGCCACAAGUUUAAGACGGUUUGGUCAAAGCAACUUAUGGGAAGUUUGCCUGUUGAGAGAACACAACUAAUUCGUGCAUUCUUGCAUACAGGUCUAGAUUUUGGAGGACCAAUAAUGAUAAAGGAGUCAAGGUUGCGCAAAGCACGUGUAACUAAGGCAUAUAUUGCACCCUUUGUGUGUAUGGCAACAAAGGCUAUUCAUAUAGAAUUGGUUACGAGUUUAGGGACCGAGGACUUCAUUCUUGCAUUAAAAAGAUUUGUGGCUCGUCGUGGGAAUCCUAUUUCAAUCAGUAGUGACAAUGCUACUAAUUUCAAGGGAGCAAACAAUUCUUUGAACGAAGUUUAUAAAUUUUUCAAAGAGCACGUUUGUGAAAUUCAAGACUUUUUAUCUACUAGGGAGAUUGAAUGGAAGUUCAUCCCUCCUAACAGUCCACACUGGGGUGGUCUGUGGGAGGCUGGAAUUAAAAGCACCAAGUACCACUUAAAAAGGGUAACUGGGAAAUCGAUCUUAUCAUAUGAAUGUUUAUACACUGGAUUGACACAAAUUGAAGCAAUUCUCAAUUCAAGACCGUUACAGCCAAUGUCGGACUCAAUUUCCGAUUUAACAUGUUUGACACCAGGACAUUUUUUGAUAGGGCAACAGUUAACUUCAUUUCCAGAAAAAGAUGUGUCUAAAUUAUAAGUUAAUCGUUUGAAUAUUUGGCAACACUGUUCUAAAUUGCGACAAGAUUUUUGGAAACUAUGGUCGACAGACUACUUAAACUUACUUCAACAUCGUCCGAAAUGGAAGGUUUUAGAAUCCAAUUUGCAGAUUGGUGAUUUAGUAAUUGUAAGAGAGGAUAACGUGCCUCCUCUAGAGUGGUAUCUCGCAAGAAUUUUGGAUGUAAUGCCUGGUCGUGACAAUAGGGUUCGUGUGGUGAAGAUUAAGACGAGUAAUGGAAUAUUUACGAGACCUAUAACAAAAUUAAGUCCAUUGCCUUUACAGUUGGGUGGUUCUGUUGUUGAGGACGAGUCCUCAAAGGGGGGAGAAUGUUAGAGUUGCAAAACAUAUUUGUUUAACGCCGGUCCUGAUGGAUUACGCCGAAUGCAUCACGCCGUCUACGUGACUUUCCCACCACCUUAAUACCAAGAAAUUACACAAGACCGCGACACUACCCAUUCGUUUUAUUGAAUGCGCGCGUUUUCUCUUCUUAGUCGACAAUAAGCAUUAGGGAGAGCGUUUAGCGCUCUAAAUAUAAUACAGUCCACUUUAUUUUACGUAGUUAGUAGUAAUAUUUUUUGGUUAAUAGCUUUAAUAAAGCUACACAAUUAUGAAAAACUA
RNA transcript from Anthonomus grandis grandis, 3731 nucleotides. RefSeq lists it as uncharacterized. The transcript has 2 exons. The record is from RefSeq and is a predicted model, not a curated record. NCBI's taxonomy places the organism in Eukaryota, Metazoa, Arthropoda, Insecta, Coleoptera, Curculionidae.